GCAUUCAUGGCUGCAGCUCAUGAAUCAAAAAGGAGAAUCAUCCGUGUGGUCUGUGAAUAUCAAAAUAAUGAUCACUUCCUGAUUUAAAACAUAAAACGAAGGAAUUGCUAGCUUCUCCUCGACAAAUUAGGAAUUUGUCUCUCUGUGAGCAAAUGAUAGCCUUCGCACAACAGCUUUGCGUGUAUGCAUCACCUCAAAUAACCUUUUUCCAGUAAAACAUUUUAAACACAUCUCUGGACAAUUCCUGGACUUUUCAAACAGAUUUAUAAUCUGGUUUCACGUCAGUAUAAAUCUCUAGGUUCUACGAUGCGAGUGACCAAAGCGGAUGGCGUCGAGUGAGGACAUUUGAGGUGAAGUCAAACCGGAGUCAUCCAUCAGUACCAGAUCUGCACAGACCUGCACAGCUGCAGCCUGCCUGCUUACCUUUGACCUUGGGUAUAAAGGAAAGCGCCUGCUGUCGGUCACACAGACGAGGAUGUUAUCACCACCGCCGUUAGCCGCAGGGCCGACAGCAACGAAAAUGAGACGCAGAUGUGACGCCUUGUAACCGACGAUGGGAGCGAGAUGCGGAGGCCCGCUGUGUGCGUACGUUGGUUUCCGCGCCCUUUAACUUCCCAUUACAUCCUCAUCUCAAUACGGCACACAAGCCAAGCUGGCCAUUGUUCAGGAGCUUUGAAGGUUAGGGAGCAAAGUCCAUUCGGGGGGGGGGGAGUCAAACUGUCACUGGUGCUACAAUUUAUCAGCUUCCCUUCAAGAUUUACAGCCGUGAUCUACUCCUCUGCACGAGAAUCCACAGACUGCUAUGAAAAGUGAGACGAAAACACACACACACACACACACA
Gasterosteus aculeatus aculeatus (three-spined stickleback) is the source of this 841-nucleotide long non-coding RNA. NCBI's taxonomy places the organism in Eukaryota, Metazoa, Chordata, Actinopteri, Perciformes, Gasterosteidae. The record is from Ensembl.